This 518-nucleotide non-coding RNA is filed under the name Pan troglodytes (chimpanzee). The record is from RNAcentral. Lineage: Eukaryota; Metazoa; Chordata; Mammalia; Primates; Hominidae.
AGAAAUCCAAUAAGAGGAGUUUUAACGAGUGGGUAACCCAUGUAGGCAACUGAGGCUCAGAUUUUUUCUGAGGACUCAUAGAGGACAUUCUUAAAACUGUGCCAAUGAGGGACUGAGAUACCAGAUUAUUUAUUCAGUGAAUCUUCUCCCAUAUUGAUUAAGGGAUGCCCUUGGAGGCAUUAAAUUCUUGUCACUUCUAGGCUACUAUUCACCAGAACUGAGUAAAACUACCAUGGCACUGUAGAAGUCCCCAGGAAAGGAGUGGGAGAUGGAGUACUGCGGAAUAAUUAGAGAUUUUCAAGAAAUCAGGAUUCUCUGAGGACCAGAUCUAGUUUGGUGAUGACUAAAAGGGCCAUGGACAGGAAAAGAUCAUUUAAAGAUUUCAGAAGGUCAAGAAAACUAAAGAAAGACUGUGAACAUCUAUGCACGUUUACAAGCUGUCAAUAAACAAGCUGAAGAAUAUGCCAAAGGCCCAGAUGCUACUUCUGGCAAGGCAGUGAUAAUUCCUCUGUCUUCCA